This 144-nucleotide microRNA precursor is filed under the name Otolemur garnettii (small-eared galago). RNAcentral's name for it is "miRNA (ENSOGAG00000021228.1)". The stretch from base 45 to 96 matches the Rfam family "mir-1302 microRNA precursor family". Lineage: Eukaryota; Metazoa; Chordata; Mammalia; Primates; Galagidae. The record is from RNAcentral.
CAGAAUGUCCAGCUAAAUUUGAUGCAGAUAAACCACAGAUGUAUGUUUCGAUGUAAGUAUGUCCCAUGCAAUAUUUGGGAUAUACUUAUACUAAAAUCUUUUUCCUUGUUUCUCUGAAAUUCUAAUUUGGCUGAGCAUCCUGUA